ACCGGCUGAAGAGCCCCAAACAGGACGAAACGCGCGUCCUGGAU
RNAcentral lists this non-coding RNA (44 nucleotides) under Schistosoma mansoni. The record is from RNAcentral. Lineage: Eukaryota; Metazoa; Platyhelminthes; Trematoda; Strigeidida; Schistosomatidae.